This is an unclassified non-coding RNA of Pongo abelii (Sumatran orangutan), 148 nucleotides long. It matches the Rfam family "Metazoan signal recognition particle RNA". From Rfam's summary of the family: The signal recognition particle (SRP) is a universally conserved ribonucleoprotein. It is involved in the co-translational targeting of proteins to membranes. The record is from Ensembl. Lineage: Eukaryota; Metazoa; Chordata; Mammalia; Primates; Hominidae.
GCUGGGUGUGGUGGCGCAUGCCUGUGGUCCUAGCUACUUGGGAGGCUGAGGUGGGAGGAUCACUUGAGCCCGGGAGGCAGAGGCUGCAGUGAGCCAAGAUUAUGCCACUGCAUUCUAGCCUGGGUGACAGAGUAAGACUCCAUCUCAA